GCGCCCUUAGCUCAGUUGUAUAGAUCAACGGCCUUCUAAGCCGUGGGUCGCAGGUUCGAAUCCUGCAGGGCGCGCUA
Molecule: transfer RNA, 77 nt
Filed under: Salmonella enterica subsp. enterica serovar Dublin
Lineage: Bacteria; Pseudomonadati; Pseudomonadota; Gammaproteobacteria; Enterobacterales; Enterobacteriaceae
Description: tRNA-Arg
Rfam family: tRNA
About the family: Transfer RNA (tRNA) molecules are approximately 80 nucleotides in length. Their secondary structure includes four short double-helical elements and three loops (D, anti-codon, and T loops).
Source: RNAcentral